Molecule: ribosomal RNA, 472 nt
Filed under: uncultured bacterium
Lineage: Bacteria
Description: partial 16S ribosomal RNA
Rfam family: Bacterial small subunit ribosomal RNA
Source: RNAcentral
GACGAACGCUGGCGGCGUGCUUAACACAUGCAAGUCGAACGCUGAAGCUUGGUGCUUGCACUGGGUGGAUGAGUGGCGAACGGGUGAGUAAUACGUGAGUAACCUGCCCUUGACUCUGGGAUAAGCCUGGGAAACUGGGUCUAAUACUGGAUACGACAUGUCACCGCAUGGUGGUGUGUGGAAAGGGUUUUACUGGUUUUGGAUGGGCUCACGGCCUAUCAGCUUGUUGGUGGGGUAAUGGCUCACCAAGGCGACGACGGGUAGCCGGCCUGAGAGGGUGACCGGCCACACUGGGACUGAGAGACGGCCCAGACUCCUACGGGAGGCAGCAGUGGGGAAUAUUGCACAAUGGGCGGAAGCCUGAUGCAGCGACGCCGCGUGAGGGAUGACGGCCUUCGGGUUGUAAACCUCUUUCAGCACGGAAGAAGCGAAAGUGACGGUACGUGCAGAAGAAGCGCCGGCUAACUACGUG